This 497-nucleotide ribosomal RNA is filed under the name uncultured bacterium. RNAcentral's name for it is "partial 16S ribosomal RNA". It matches the Rfam family "Bacterial small subunit ribosomal RNA", at positions 28 to 507 of the family's 1533-position model. The record is from RNAcentral.
GAUGAACGCUGGCGGCGUGCCUAAUACAUGCAGGUCGAGCGAACAGACGAGGAGCUUGCUCCUCUGACGUUAGCGGCGGACGGGUGAGUAACACGUGGAUAACCUACCUAUAAGACUGGGAUAACUUCGGGAAACCGGAGCUAAUACCGGAUAAUAUAUUGAACCGCAUGGUUCAAUAGUGAAAGACGGUUUUGCUGUCACUUAUAGAUGGAUCCGCGCCGCAUUAGCUAGUUGGUAAGGUAACGGCUUACCAAGGCAACGAUGCGUAGCCGACCUGAGAGGGUGAUCGGCCACACUGGAACUGAGACACGGUCCAGACUCCUACGGGAGGCAGCAGUAGGGAAUCUUCCGCAAUGGGCGAAAGCUUGACGGAGCAACGCCGCGUGAGUGAUGAAGGUCUUCGGAUCGUAAAACUCUGUUAUUAGGGAAGAACAAAUGUGUAAGUAACUAUGCACGUCUUGACGGUACCUAAUCAGAAAGCCACGUCUAACUACGUG